This 64-nucleotide transfer RNA is filed under the name Polyphylla laticollis. RNAcentral's name for it is "tRNA-Tyr". It matches the Rfam family "tRNA". Rfam says of the family: Transfer RNA (tRNA) molecules are approximately 80 nucleotides in length. Their secondary structure includes four short double-helical elements and three loops (D, anti-codon, and T loops). Further hydrogen bonds mediate the characteristic L-shaped molecular structure. tRNAs have two regions of fundamental functional importance: the anti-codon, which is responsible for specific mRNA codon recognition, and the 3' end, to which the tRNAs corresponding amino acid is attached (by aminoacyl-tRNA synthetases). tRNAs cope with the degeneracy of the genetic code in two manners: having more than one tRNA (with a specific anti-codon) for a particular amino acid; and 'wobble' base-pairing, i.e. permitting non-standard base-pairing at the 3rd anti-codon position. Lineage: Eukaryota; Metazoa; Arthropoda; Insecta; Coleoptera; Scarabaeidae. RNAcentral also lists the same sequence under 1 other name. The record is from RNAcentral.
AGUGGAAUGGCCGAGAUUAGGCGGUAAAUUGUAAAUUUACAUACGGGAUAAAUUCCUUUCACUA